Molecule: ribosomal RNA, 612 nt
Filed under: uncultured bacterium
Lineage: Bacteria
Description: bacterial SSU rRNA
Rfam family: Bacterial small subunit ribosomal RNA
Source: RNAcentral
CAAGUCGAACGAGAACGGGACCUUCGGGUCCUUAUUAGAGUGGCGCACGGGUGAGUAACACGUGAGCAACCUACCCUUUGAUUUGGAAUAACCACCCGAAAGGGUGGCUAAUACCGAAUAAUGUCAUCACCCUACGGGGUAGUUGACCAAAGAUGGCCUCUGUUAAAGCUAUCGUCGAAGGAUGGGCUCGCGUCCCAUUAGCUUGUUGGUGAGGUAACGGCUCACCAAGGCUACGAUGGGUAGUUGGUCUGAGAGGAUGACCAGCCACACUGGCACUGAGAUACGGGCCAGACUCCUACGGGAGGCAGCAGUGAGGAAUUUUGCGCAAUGGGCGAAAGCCUGACGCAGCAACGCCGCGUGUGUGAUGAAGCCUUUCGGGGUGUAAAGCACUGUCAGGUGGGAAGAAACUCCUUCCGCCAAAUAGGCGGUUGGACUGACGGUACCACCAAAGGAAGCCCCGGCUAACUCCGUGCCAGCAGCCGCGGUAAUACGGAGGGGGCAAGCGUUGCUCGGAAUUACUGGGCGUAAAGGGCGUGUAGGCGGCCACUUAAGUCGGGUGUGAAAGCCCUCGGCUCAACCGAGGAACUGCGCUCGAAACUGAGUGGCUUGAGU